CCAGAUACAAAUAUCACAAAUGAUUGUAUUACUUUACAUCACUGUGUAAAUAAACUAAUCAAAUGGAAACAGUCUCAUAUAGAAACUAAGUAAAUGUGUUUGGGGCAAGUUUCAGCUCAUAAAUUGAUAUAUGAUGUAUGUCUCACACCAACACUCUGAAGCAACUUCUUUCUCCCAGGCACUAAUGAUUAAAUGCUCAGUGGCUGCACUUGGCAAAUCAUUUUGUCUCAUGCAGCCCUCCAUCAAUUUUGUGUAAGAGGAAAAGCAAAAUUAGAAUUCAAUAUUAUGCCAUUGACAAAAUAAUAAGUAGAGACCCACCAAAAAUGUGAUUAAGGAACAAAGGUGUGAGCAACCCAAUUCUGAAGACAGUCAUCUCCACCACACAUAAGCCUAGUU
RNAcentral lists this long non-coding RNA (396 nucleotides) under Bos taurus (domestic cattle). Its description in RNAcentral is "long non-coding RNA NONBTAT019319". Lineage: Eukaryota; Metazoa; Chordata; Mammalia; Artiodactyla; Bovidae. The record is from RNAcentral.